GCAGGACCAGCAGUCACAUGUUGAAGAUGUGACUCUUUAAUGUUGCUCCAAGUGUUUGAGGCCUUACUGAGGGGAUGACUGUGAUGACCGACAGAGAGAACCUUACAACCCAUCCCAUGAUUGCUGGCACUCUGACUCAUGGCUGUUACUUCAUGGUCUGGAUGGCUCAGUCUGGUCCAGGUUAUGUUCGAAGCAACAGCCUUAUUCAAAGAAAGGAGGUGGUUCUGGAGGUGUCAAGGUUUGAAAGACUUUCUGGGGAUGCAAAUCCGACUUGGCACAUCUCCCACCCUCACCGUAGCUGUUCACCUCCUCCCUUCUCUGCUGCUCCAAGCCUUUGAUCUGAGUCCAAUGCCCACACAACCCAUGGGGGUCAACCGCACUCAACCCUUUCACAGGCUGGCACACUCCUCCCUGUUGGCACGGUUGUGGUCUGGCUGCCAGAGCGCCCAAAGCAGAAUGCAGCAAAUGACGUGCGAACGAGCAAAUAUGAACCUGAGUCGCUACACGUGAUGUAUGAGCUCUGUUGUCUCACACACCUCCUCUUGAGCACUAUACAUGUUCUUCUCCGCUAGAGCCUUUUCUCUCUGAUAUCGCUCAUCGGCAAUUACUUCGAGCUUCUGCCGGCGUCUGUUCUUCAGCGACGGCAUAUUCAAGCGAGCUCCAUUCAGAUGUUUCCAAAUCCCUGUCUUGUUUUUGUUUCGCGUGACCCAUCAAUCAGCACUCCUCCCAUCUGUUUGUUACUCGCUACUUACUGCCACCCUUUUAGCGUACAAUAAAUGAAAACAUCAUAACAUCCCUCUCUUUAUCUCUCAUUCUCUCACUUUCACACCCUCAGGCCUUUUGUAUUUAUACGACUUUUAGGGGAUGCCGAUCCUGCUAUAAAACCAGCACCCCUACAUUUUUGUAACUUUCUGGACAUCAUGUAAAUGAUCAAAUCAUAGCGCUUUUUCCCCAUGUUUAAUGUAGGCAUGUUAUAAAAAUGGGAAAAAGUUGUGGUAACUUAGUGAUCUCUAAUUAUGUCAUGCCCCUCAGUUCUGCGGUACAGGCAGAGUUGGUGGGAGAUGAAGAAAGGGAACACUGGAUGACUG
Molecule: long non-coding RNA, 1088 nt
Filed under: Sinocyclocheilus anshuiensis
Lineage: Eukaryota; Metazoa; Chordata; Actinopteri; Cypriniformes; Cyprinidae
Description: lncRNA (ENSSANG00000044161.1)
Source: RNAcentral